This is a long non-coding RNA of Maylandia zebra (zebra mbuna), 212 nucleotides long. RefSeq lists it as uncharacterized. The record is from RefSeq and is a predicted model, not a curated record. Lineage: Eukaryota; Metazoa; Chordata; Actinopteri; Cichliformes; Cichlidae.
UAUGAACAAUGUGCUGAUGUCCGUAUCAGGCAAGUCGGCCCAGCUUUACUCGCACAGCCUGCCAGCUCUGUUUGAACAGAAAGGACAUCUGCACAAGAAACACAGCAGCCUGUCGCUCAGCACCAACCGCCUCACUGAGCGGAUCAGUCUCAGAAAGUUUACCAUAUCUGUAAAGAUUCCUGACACUAAAGGUUGUAGGAGGUGCAGUGUAG